This 267-nucleotide long non-coding RNA is filed under the name Capsicum annuum. RNAcentral describes it as "long non-coding RNA (CANN_LNC014203)". Lineage: Eukaryota; Viridiplantae; Streptophyta; Magnoliopsida; Solanales; Solanaceae. The record is from RNAcentral.
UCAACAAUCCAUAUUAUCUCAAAAUAUCUUCACCAUCUCUAAGAUCAAUUAAUUUAAAAAUAACUGUGUAAAUUAUUAAAGAACAAGAAUACGACACAUAGGAAUCAAGAAAUGUCAUCAAUUCAGUAACAACAACCAUGCAUGUACCAAGAUUACACUACGCAAACAAGUUAGCACCUAGAAACGUAACUAGUGUGUCCUUACUACAAAGUAGUCCCUCUUCACUUUUAUCAAACAUCACAUAUAUAACCAUGGGGAUAGUCAAAU